RNAcentral lists this ribosomal RNA (397 nucleotides) under Salmonella enterica. RNAcentral's name for it is "partial 23S ribosomal RNA". It matches the Rfam family "Bacterial large subunit ribosomal RNA", at positions 2261 to 2657 of the family's 2925-position model. Lineage: Bacteria; Pseudomonadati; Pseudomonadota; Gammaproteobacteria; Enterobacterales; Enterobacteriaceae. The record is from RNAcentral. RNAcentral also lists the same sequence under 4 other names.
GUGGGUAGUUUGACUGGGGCGGUCUCCUCCUAAAGAGUAACGGAGGAGCACGAAGGUUGGCUAAUCCUGGUCGGACAUCAGGAGGUUAGUGCAAUGGCAUAAGCCAGCUUGACUGCGAGCGUGACGGCGCGAGCAGGUGCGAAAGCAGGUCAUAGUGAUCCGGUGGUUCUGAAUGGAAGGGCCAUCGCUCAACGGAUAAAAGGUACUCCGGGGAUAACAGGCUGAUACCGCCCAAGAGUUCAUAUCGACGGCGGUGUUUGGCACCUCGAUGUCGGCUCAUCACAUCCUGGGGCUGAAGUAGGUCCCAAGGGUAUGGCUGUUCGCCAUUUAAAGUGGUACGCGAGCUGGGUUUAGAACGUCGUGAGACAGUUCGGUCCCUAUCUGCCGUGGGCGCUGG